This 343-nucleotide unclassified non-coding RNA is filed under the name soil metagenome. Its description in RNAcentral is "partial contains 5.8S ribosomal RNA, internal transcribed spacer 2, and large subunit ribosomal RNA". The stretch from base 1 to 120 matches the Rfam family "5.8S ribosomal RNA", at positions 35 to 154 of the family's 154-position model. The record is from RNAcentral.
GAUGAAGAACGCAGCGAAAUGCGAUACGUAAUGUGAAUUGCAGAAUUCAGUGAAUCAUCGAGUCUUUGAACGCACAUUGCGCCCUCUGGUAUUCCGGAGGGCAUGCCUGUCCGAGCGUCAUUGCUGCCCUCAAGCACGGCUUGUGUGUUGGGCUCCGUCCUCCUUCCGGGGGACGGGCCCGGAAGGCAGCGGCGGCACCGCGUCCGGUCCUCAAGCGUAUGGGGCUUUGUCACCCGCUUUGUAGGACUGGCCGGCGCCUGCCGAUCAACCAAACUUUUUUCCAGGUUGACCUCGGAUCAGGUAGGGAUACCCGCUGAACUUAAGCAUAUCAAUAAGCGGAGGA